UACGUAGGGUGCGAGCGUUGUCCGGAAUUAUUGGGCGUAAAGAGCUCGUAGGCGGUCUGUCGCGUCGAUCGUGAAAACUUGGGGCUUAACCCUGAGCUUGCGGUCGAUACGGGCAUGACUGGAGUUCGGCAGGGGAGACUGGAAUUCCUGGUGUAGCGGUGAAAUGCGCAGAUAUCAGGAGGAACACCAGUGGCGAAGGCGGCUUUCUGGUCUGUUCUUGACGCUGAGGCGCGAAAGCUAGGGUAGCAAACGGG
Molecule: ribosomal RNA, 254 nt
Filed under: uncultured bacterium
Lineage: Bacteria
Description: partial 16S ribosomal RNA
Rfam family: Bacterial small subunit ribosomal RNA
Source: RNAcentral